Molecule: ribosomal RNA, 549 nt
Filed under: uncultured Glomus
Lineage: Eukaryota; Fungi; Glomeromycota; Glomeromycetes; Glomerales; Glomeraceae
Description: SSU rRNA
Rfam family: Eukaryotic small subunit ribosomal RNA
Source: RNAcentral
UUGGAGGGCAAGUCUGGUGCCAGCAGCCGCGGUAAUUCCAGCUCCAAUAGCGUAUAUUAAAGUUGUUGCAGUUAAAAAGCUCGUAGUUGAAUUUCGGGGUUAGUAGAUUGGUCAUGCCUCAGGUAUGUACUGAUCUCACUGAUUCCUCCUUCCUGAUGAACCGUAAUGCCAUUAAUUUGGUGUUGCGGGGAAUCUGGACUGUUACUUUGAAAAAAUUAGAGUGUUUAAAGCAGGCUAACGCUUGAAUACAUUAGCAUGGAAUAAUGAAAUAGGACGUUCGAUCCUAUUUUGUUGGUUUCUAGGAUUGACGUAAUGAUUAAUAGGGAUAGUUGGGGGCAUUAGUAUUCAAUUGUCAGAGGUGAAAUUCUUGGAUUUAUUGAAGACUAACUACUGCGAAAGCAUUUGCCAAGGAUGUUUUCAUUAAUCAAGAACGAAAGUUAGGGGAUCGAAGACGAUCAGAUACCGUCGUAGUCUUAACCAUAAACUAUGCCGACUAGGGAUCGGAUGAUGUUAAUUUUUUAAUGACUCAUUCGGCGCCUUACGGGAAAC